UUUAAUAUGGCAGAUAAGUGCAAUGGAUUUAAGAUCCAUAAAUUUAGUUUUUAACUUUUAUUAAAA
RNAcentral lists this transfer RNA (66 nucleotides) under Alepidosceles sp. BBSL-221420. RNAcentral's name for it is "tRNA-Leu". It matches the Rfam family "tRNA". Rfam says of the family: Transfer RNA (tRNA) molecules are approximately 80 nucleotides in length. Their secondary structure includes four short double-helical elements and three loops (D, anti-codon, and T loops). Further hydrogen bonds mediate the characteristic L-shaped molecular structure. tRNAs have two regions of fundamental functional importance: the anti-codon, which is responsible for specific mRNA codon recognition, and the 3' end, to which the tRNAs corresponding amino acid is attached (by aminoacyl-tRNA synthetases). tRNAs cope with the degeneracy of the genetic code in two manners: having more than one tRNA (with a specific anti-codon) for a particular amino acid; and 'wobble' base-pairing, i.e. permitting non-standard base-pairing at the 3rd anti-codon position. The record is from RNAcentral. Lineage: Eukaryota; Metazoa; Arthropoda; Insecta; Hymenoptera; Apidae.